UACAGUUGCCCAGUGGUUAGAGCGUCCGUCUCGGAUGCGGGAGGUUGAGGGUUCUAAUCCCGGCCUAAUCAUAAAAA
This is a non-coding RNA of Potamilus streckersoni, 77 nucleotides long. NCBI's taxonomy places the organism in Eukaryota, Metazoa, Mollusca, Bivalvia, Unionida, Unionidae. The record is from the annotation of a GenBank genome assembly.